AGAACGAACGCUGGCGGCAGGCUUAACACAUGCAAGUCGAGCGCCCCGCAAGGGGAGCGGCAGACGGGUGAGUAACGCGUGGGAAUCUACCCAACCCUACGGAAUAACACAGGGAAACUUGUGCUAAUACCGUAUACGCCCUACGGGGGAAAGAUUUAUCGGGGUUGGAUGAGCCCGCGUUGGAUUAGCUAGUUGGUGGGGUAAUGGCCUACCAAGGCGACGAUCCAUAGCUGGUCUGAGAGGAUGAUCAGCCACACUGGGACUGAGACACGGCCCAGACUCCUACGGGAGGCAGCAGUGGGGAAUAUUGGACAAUGGGCGAAAGCCUGAUCCAGCCAUGCCGCGUGAGUGAUGAAGGCCUUAGGGUUGUAAAGUCCUUUUAACGGGGAAGAUAAUGACGGUACCCGUAGAAUAAGCCCCGGCUAACUUCGCGCCAGCAGCCGC
This 444-nucleotide ribosomal RNA is filed under the name uncultured bacterium. RNAcentral describes it as "SSU rRNA". It matches the Rfam family "Bacterial small subunit ribosomal RNA", at positions 26 to 518 of the family's 1533-position model. The record is from RNAcentral.